UACGUAGGGGGCUAGCGUUGUCCGGAAUCAUUGGGCGUAAAGCGCGUGUAGGCGGUCCGGUAAGUCCGCUGUGAAAGUCGGGGGCUCAACCCUCGAAUGCCGGUGGAUACUGUCGGGCUAGAGUGCGGAAGAGGCGAGUGCAAUUCCUGGUGUAGCGGUGAAAUGCGCAGAUAUCAGGAGGAACACCAAUUGCGAAGGCAGCUCGCUGGGACGUUACUGACGCUGAGACGCGAAAGCGUGGGGAGCAAACAGG
Molecule: ribosomal RNA, 253 nt
Filed under: uncultured bacterium
Lineage: Bacteria
Description: partial 16S ribosomal RNA
Rfam family: Bacterial small subunit ribosomal RNA
Source: RNAcentral